RNAcentral lists this ribosomal RNA (253 nucleotides) under uncultured bacterium. RNAcentral describes it as "partial 16S ribosomal RNA". It matches the Rfam family "Bacterial small subunit ribosomal RNA", at positions 524 to 776 of the family's 1533-position model. RNAcentral also lists the same sequence under 1 other name. The record is from RNAcentral.
UACGUAGGGUGCGAGCGUUGUCCGGAAUUAUUGGGCGUAAAGAGCUCGUAGGCGGUUUGUCGCGUCGACUGUGAAAACCUACAGCUUAACUGUGGGCUUGCAGUCGAUACGGGCAGACUUGAGUUCGGUAGGGGAGACUGGAAUUCCUGGUGUAGCGGUGAAAUGCGCAGAUAUCAGGAGGAACACCGGUGGCGAAGGCGGGUCUCUGGGCCGAUACUGACGCUGAGGAGCGAAAGCGUGGGGAGCGAACAGG